GACGAACGCUGGCGGCGUGCCUAAUACAUGCAAGUCGAACGCUGAAGAGAGUAUCUUGCUCUUCUUGGAUGAGUUGCGAACGGGUGAGUAACGCGUAGGUUACCUGCCUUUUAGCGGUGGAUAACUAUUGGUAACGAUAGCUCAUACCGCAUAACAAUGGUUGACCCAUGUCAUUUAUUUGAAAGGGGCAAAUGCUCCACUACAAGAUGGACCUGCGUUGUAUUAGCUAGUAGGGGGGGUAACGGCUCACCUAGGCGACGAUCCAUAGCCGAACGGAGAGGGGGAUAGGCCACACUGGGACGGGGACACGGCCAGGACGACUAAGGGAGGGAGCAGUAGGGAAUGGGAGGCAAUGGGGGCAAACAUGGCAGAGCAACGGGGCGUGAGAGAAGAAGGGUUUCGGAUCGGAAAGCCCUGUUGUAAGUUAAGAACGAGUGUGGGAGAGGAAAGUUCACAGUGUGACGGUAGCGGAUCAGAAAGGGACGGCUAACUACGUG
This 497-nucleotide ribosomal RNA is filed under the name uncultured bacterium. RNAcentral describes it as "partial 16S ribosomal RNA". It matches the Rfam family "Bacterial small subunit ribosomal RNA", at positions 28 to 507 of the family's 1533-position model. The record is from RNAcentral.